RNAcentral lists this small nuclear RNA (163 nucleotides) under Dracunculus medinensis (Guinea worm). RNAcentral describes it as "U1 spliceosomal RNA". It matches the Rfam family "U1 spliceosomal RNA". Rfam says of the family: U1 is a small nuclear RNA (snRNA) component of the spliceosome (involved in pre-mRNA splicing). Its 5' end forms complementary base pairs with the 5' splice junction, thus defining the 5' donor site of an intron. Lineage: Eukaryota; Metazoa; Nematoda; Chromadorea; Rhabditida; Dracunculidae. The record is from Rfam by way of RNAcentral.
AAACUUACCUGGCUGGAAGGUUCUCACGAUCAAGAAGGUGGGGCCUUCAUGGUGAGGCUUGACCAUUGCACUUUAGGUCAGGUUGACCCGUGUGGCAUUCCCGAGUCGGGAUUCGCCAACAGCGUAAUUUUUGCGUUAGGGGACAGCGUACGCGCUUCCCUAA